RNAcentral lists this ribosomal RNA (253 nucleotides) under uncultured bacterium. Its description in RNAcentral is "partial 16S ribosomal RNA". It matches the Rfam family "Bacterial small subunit ribosomal RNA", at positions 524 to 776 of the family's 1533-position model. The record is from RNAcentral.
UACGUAGGCAGCAAGCGUUGUUCGGAGUUACUGGGCGUAAAGGGUGUGUAGGCGGUUCUUUAAGUUUGGUGUGAAAUCUCCCGGCUCAACUGGGAGGGUGCGCCGAAUACUGAGGGACUAGAGUACGGGAGAGGAAAGUGGAAUUCCUGGUGUAGCGGUGAAAUGCGUAGAUAUCAGGAGGAACACCGGUGGUGUAGACGGCUUUCUGGACCGUAACUGACGCUCAUGCACGACAGCGUGGGGAUCAAACAGG